ACACUUCAGUUUCCGCCUUCUGCUCACGGACUGCAGAGACAAGACGUUCUUCAAGACAAUGCUGUUCAUCUUUGUAAGUAGAAUAGUUUAAUGAAAUGUCAGCUCUUGUGUGCUUUUCAUUUUGCAUUUUUGACUUGUGUUAUAUUCCCUUAUAAGUCCCAGAGAAAGGAGAGAGGAGCAGAGAUGAGUUUAACUGCAGCAGUGAGUGGAUUCAUCCUUCUCCUCUCUGUAUCAGGUACUUCAUUUCUACAGCUUUUCCUCUUCACUCUGAGAAACCUGCAGCCUCUUUUUAAUUUGAUCAAAAACAGACUCUGUUUGCAGAACCUGCAGUUUUUUCUCCAAAAUUCAGAUUGUAAUUUGCUGUAUUGAAAUCAGUUUUUGAAUUUUUGUGGAUACUAGUUUUGCAGUCAGGCUAGUGUCUCAGGGACUCAUUUAUCACAACACAUCUGCAACAAGCCUGUGUGUUCCUCUUCAUAGGUGUUAUAUUUCCAUGCUGAUGCUGCAUUGACAGCACUUAUCUAAUCAUUGAGUAUUAGCUGCUGUACAGUUUCUCACCCCUUAGACUUCUGCAUUUAUUUUUAGAUACACACUUGACUGGGCAGCUAACUUUGCACAGAGAAAACUUUCACAGAACAGCACAAUCUGUCAAAUAAUUUACACUGUUAAUAAUGCUGUUGGGUUAGAGAAGUGUUCAUGAAUAUAAACAUCUGUAAUUUUUCAGUAUGGAUAAAUCUUCUCUCAGAUAUUUUGAUAAGUAGUUUAAAAUCUAAUAUCAAACAGAGAAAAAAGCUAAACCUGACAAAAAUAUCUUACAUGUGAUUGUUAUAUCAAGAUGAUGUCGGACUGCACCUCAAUGAUCUGGUUCAGAUUUAUUUAUUUCAUGUUCAGUCUUAAACUUUUCCUGGUCUGGUUAAAUUGACUGUGUUCUCUGAUUUUUGUGUUUUAGUGGCUCAGCCUCAGAACGGCUGGGAGGUGACAUACUCUAAAACUCAGAUCUGUGUCUCCAGAGGAUCAACUGUGGAAAUAAGCUGCAACUUUAAGUACCCAAAAACAAUGGAGAGGAAGCAGAACAAACUCUUAAAAACAUUUUGGUUUAUCAGGAGACGUGGUGAUGAGCUUCUAAACAUUGAAACAGACUCAGAGUAUUCAGGUCGUGUGAAGACCACGCAUGAUGGGACCAGAUCCACCCUAACAAUCACAAACCUGACAGGGAGUGACUCAGCUGAAUACAUGUUCAGGAUGGAGACAAGCCUGGACAAAUAUUCUGGCUACCCAGGUGUCACCCUGUCUGUGAGAGGUAGUUUUCUGUGAAAUGUCUCAUCCUUUACCUUUUUGAAAAUCGUGUAAAUGAUUAUAUUAUGUGUAUGUUUAUGUGGAAAGUACUGACAGUUUUAUCUGAUCAGAUGUCCAGAUAAGGGUGAACAGAUCACGUGGGCAUUUGCAGUUGAAGUGUCUCAGCCGUUGUCGUCAAGAUUUUCGAUACAUUUGGUUCAUGAAUGGAGAAAAAAUUAAGAACCAAAAUUCAAAAUAUCAUCAACCAGACCAGACUCUGAACACAGACAGAUUUUCCUGUGCUGUAGAAGGAUAUGAGGACUUCCCCUCUCCUUCAGUGUGUGAGUUUACCCCUCCCUUUCCUCUAACACAACACUAUCUGAUGGAGGUUUUAAAAUUUGGUGCGUGCCCUGACUCUCUGGUCUGUGGCUAACAUUUCCACUUUAAAAAACAUCUCAUAUCUGUGAUGCUCAGAGUAAAAACUCAAUAGUAAAGAGUUGUUAAAGGACAGAGAGCAUAAACCAAGUACAUCAGUGACUGAAAUGUUAACUGUAAAAUGUGUUUCUUCUUCAGAUGCUUUCGAGCCUCCCUCUGUGUCAGUGAGUUCCUCUGCUGAGAUAAUGGAGGGAAAAAAUGUGACUCUGACCUGCAGCAGUGAUGCUAAUGUAGAAUCCAGUUAUACCUGGUAUCAAAGAAAUGAACCUCUAUAUCCUCUGCGUCUCAGGAGAGGACCUCAGCUUGUCUUCAGCUCCAUCAAGUCCUCAGACUUUGGACAGUAUUACUGUGAAGUGAGGAACACCUUUGGGACACAGAUAUCGGGGAACAUCUUGGCUGGUUUGACAUGUGUGUGAAACAUCACAGUUCAAACACAUUAGAAAGACAAUAAACUACACAACAAUACCUCAAAACAGUUUUAUCCUGUAUUUGAACAAAAAGCACUAAGACAAAAUUUCUUCUUUUAUAUGUUUAUUUGCAAGUUUAAUUUACCAACUUUGAUUAAAUCCAUUUCCAGAUGAUCCAAAACGUCCCUCUGUGUCAGUGAGUCCCUCUGCUGAGAUAGUGGAGGGUAAACAUGUGACUCUGACCUGCAGCAGUGAUGUUAAGCCAGAUGCUACUUAUACCUGGUACAGAAGAAGUGGACGUCUAAGUCUGAGUCUCAGAAAAGGAAAUCAGCUUGUCUUCAGCUCCAUCCAGUCCUCAGACUCUGGACAGUAUUACUGUAAAGUGAGGGGCAUCACCAGGUCCUCUAGGGACGUCUUAGUUUAUGUGAAAUGUGAGUAAAAAGUCACAUUUAAGGAUCAACAUAAGGAUGAAAACCAUACACAACCAUAUCCCAGAACAUUUUUUUAUUCUGUUUCUUUGUCAUUUCUGUUUUUAUCCGUCUUCAGAUGCUCCAAAGUUCUCUUACGUGUCUGUGAGUCCCUCUUCUGAGAUAGUGGAGGGCAGUUCAGUGACUCUGACCUGUAUCAGUUAUGCCAACCCAGCACCACGUUCCACCUGGUACAAGGAGAACAACACCACGUUUCAGUCAACAGGAGGAAUUUAUACUUUUCUCAACAUCAGCCAUCUGGACAGAGGGAGAUACAACUGCAGAUCUGAGAAUCAAUAUGGAUCACAUGUAUCUCCCCCUCUCUCACUAGAUAUCCAGUGUGAGUAGAAGACAUUACAAAGUUAGAUCACCUGGUACAAAACUCUUCUUAAUGGCUUAAGUCUCCAUGUAAAGUUUUCUUUCGAUCUCCUCCAGAUGCUCCAAAACGUCCCUCUGUGUCAGUGAGUCCCUCUGCUGAGAUAGUGGAGGGUAGUUCAGUAAAUCUGAUCUGCAGCAGUGAUGCUAACCCUGCAGCUACUUAUACCUGGUACAAAGAGAAUGAAGACUCAGCAAACGCUUCAGGACAGACCUUCACCAUCACUGAGUUCAGAGCUAAUCACAGUGGGAAUUAUUACUGUGAAGCCCGGAACAAAAUAGGACACCAGAAAUCCAGCCCACAUCAGAUUGUUGCAGCAGGUGAGAUGUUUACACACCUGCACACAGAGAGCUUACCCAGAAUACUCAAAGCAGCUCAUGAUAUGUUUGAUUAAUUAAUUAAUUUUUUCCUUCACAAACAUGUUUUCUCUGAAUCAGAUCUUAAAACUGACUAAAGUGAAUAAUUCAUGGAGGGACCUCCAUGUCAGAUUCUGGCUCAACAGAGUCUCAGACAGAGCUAAAGAUAUAGACCAGUCUGAUUCUGUUAGUAAUGUGUCUCACAUAUCUCUCUUCUUUCAUUCAAGGGAAAUCAACAAUAACAACCAUAAUUAGCAUCAGGUUGACCCUGUUCUUUUUGAUGUUGAUUCCUCCACCUCUUGUGAGUCUGUUGACAAGGUAAAACCAUAAAACUCCAUCAAUUCAAACACAUUUCUUUUAUGAGCUUCUUCACUUGGUUCAUAGUUUAAUUUCUUUUCUCUCUAUUAUUGUAAAACUAACUUUUCUCAAAUGUAAUAAUCCAGGAAGAAGAAACCUCUGAACUCCAACACUGAACCAAGUGAACCUGCAGAGAUGAUAGAGGUGAGACCGACUGCUGACAAAACAUCUUUACAGACCUGUUCAAAGAUGUCAGGAUCAAAGUUUCAAAAUGGGACUAAAAUACUUUCAAAGAUGAUCAACUCUCUUCAUCUGUCCUCAGCUGGACUCUGCUCAUGAGAAUGAGAAAGUCUCAGCGGUCACUGCAGCACAGACUGAAGACAUAGAGGAGCAGGAAGACAGGGUGUGAAAUCCAGUCAGGGUGGGGUGUCUCCAGUGGUGCUGAUGGUGUACUGGUCCCAUAACUAGACUGGAGUCUCCUGUUGAGCGGUUGCUGGUUCAACUCCCGCCCAUGAUCCUUUGCUGCACAUGUUCUCUCAGUCAAAAAUAAGACGUUUCAAACUCUUACUUUUGUCAUGUUGGUUAAGUUUCCUUUAUUUUUGCACAUUCAUGUUUUGUUUCAUGUCAUGUAUUUCCUGUUUUAUUUUGUAGUUCACCAACUCUUGUUUCUGUCUUCUAGCUUUGUUCCUGUCUGGUCUGCCCUCGUUUUGUCACACCUGCUGCCUGAUUGUGUUUCCCCACCUGUUCCCCAUCACCCUCACUACCUCUUGUAUUUAAUCUCAUGCAUCUCACUGUCUCGUCACCAGUUCGUUGCACUUUAUAGUCACGUUCCAGCAUUAUGCAUAGUUUUAGUCAAGUCAUGUAUUACCUUUGCCUGCUUUAUUUCUGACCUUGCCUUUUUACAAUAAAUCCUUGUCUUUUGGACCAACUGA
RNAcentral lists this long non-coding RNA (4542 nucleotides) under Xyrichtys novacula (pearly razorfish). Lineage: Eukaryota; Metazoa; Chordata; Actinopteri; Labriformes; Labridae. The record is from RNAcentral.